Molecule: long non-coding RNA, 5183 nt
Organism: Nyctereutes procyonoides (raccoon dog)
Lineage: Eukaryota; Metazoa; Chordata; Mammalia; Carnivora; Canidae
Exons: 2
Source: RefSeq, a predicted model, not a curated record
UACAAAGAUAUUAACUUGAGGUGCCUGGGUGGCUCAGUUGGUUAGGCAUCUGCCUUUGAUUGGGGUCAUAAUCUCAGAGUCCUGGGAUCAAAUCCUGAAUGAGGCUCCCUGCUUAGCAGGGACUCUGCCUCUCCCUUUGCUCCUCCCCAACAACUUGUGCGUGCACACACUCUUUCUCUCCUCUCAAAUGAAUAAAUAAAAUCCUUAAAAAUAAAAAUAAAAUAAAAUAAACUCCUCUGAAAAUCCAUGAUGAAGAUGUUACAUGCAAUUUAAUAACAAACAAGUGAAAAGAAAGAAACAAAGACAUUAACUUUAUUAUUCUCUAUACCUUCCUUGUAUGCUUGAAAUAUUUCAUAAGUUAAAAGAAAAAGCUUAUAUAUAAAAAUAGAAAAUAUUGCCAACAGUUCAAAAGGCUAUAUAAUGAAAAAUAAAUACCCGUUCAUUUCAGAUCUAUGAUCCUCCUUGGAGACUCUGAUUAUUAUCCAUUUCAUAUGCAUCCUACAGGAGUAGUCUGCAAAAGCAAGCUUUUUCUUUCUUUUCUUUUCUUUCUUUCUUUUUUUUGAUUUAAAUUCAAGUUAGUUAACAUAUAGUGUAUUAUUAGUUUCAGGGGUAUGCAAAUGCAAGCUUUAAUAUCUGGAAUUGCUGCUCCACUCGGAAGCAUAUAUACACACAUACCCAUGUACUUACACACCUGGAUGUCUAAUUCUAUUCACCCAUGUGGGAAGCAGGCCAACACACUGAAGCCUUCCAUUUGGAAAGUCUACCUUAUGACCCUUUAUUUUGGACACUCACUAGAAACCACUCUUUGUUUUCUCUUUUAGUGGACCUGAACCCAUCUGUGUAUCUUUCCCAAUUGGUGAAUACAUGGGCCUCUCUUAUUAACUAGGGUCAACUUCUCUGGAGAAUGACUGAUUAUCUCUUUGAAGUAUCCUCCUCAGGCUCCUUAGCAUGAAAAUUUCGUAUGCCGAACAACUCAUAUUUUAAGUCAGACCAUCACAAGCAUGUUAGAAUUUAGUGAAAAUCAGUCCAGCAAUUUUCUUAUGAUAUGGUACAGAAGUAGACAAGAAGUCACAAACUUCACUUCAUUACAUGAAUAAAUCUUCCACUGCUCCCCUGCUCUGACCUUUAGGGGAAAAGAGAGAGAAAAAGAGAAAACUUACAAAAUGAGAGCACACUUGGCACACUUGUUCUGUACCUUGCCUUUUUUUCCUUAUUAUAUCUCGAGGUGGUUUUAUGUUUCUUAUCAGUCCACACAGUUUUACUUUUGUAUUUAUAGUAUAAAUACUAGUUCAAUUUCAUUUGUGAACAAACUGGGAUUAAAAUUCAUAAUAAGCUUUUCUUUCUAAAAUAAUGUCUUAAUUUCUCUUCAGUGUAGGGUGACCAAGUCAUCUUUUGGCUUGGGCUUUGCCUGGGAUUUUAUCAUUUAAAAUCCUAUGUCCUGGAAAAUUUCUCUUCGCGUUUGUCCUAAAAUGAAAUUAUUAACCACAUAUUGUUGAUUUGGAAUAAGAAUUUUUCCUAGGGCUUUUGCUAGUGUUGAGGGUUGCCUCACACUUUUAGGUGGCUGUGUCUAUUCUAGUGUUUGACUCUAUAUAAUUGUAUUAAGCCUGCUUCCUACUAGUGGACAUUUUGUCUCUUUCUAGAGUUUUGUGGGAACAAACAAGUCUUCCAUAAAUGUCCUCGCUUAUUUGUUCUGUAAACUGGUAAAUUCUGCAUAAUAAUUUGCUUGGAAAAUAAGGCUUUCCUGCUUAAAACAAAACUCAGAAAGCCACAAGAUUAAAGACUCUUUCAUCUUGAGCCUUCUGUGAGUCUCUUUUUCUUCAGGUGACUGACUGGGCUAAGGAUGAGUUUAAAAUGGGUUGGCAGCCAAGGUCUGGGAAAAAAGCCCAGGCACAGGAGAGGCUUCCUGGGGUGCAUGAGGGAGAAAAACAGCCAGUGCUGUGCUUCCCAGCUCGGAGGGGGUGUUUAUCAAGGCCAGUGGGAGAGGAGUUGGCCAGACUUCGAGGGGUCCAGUGUUGGCCAGGAGUAGGCCUGAGAGACUGAGGCCAUUCAGCUGUGUUCCAAAAUGAGCAGGGAAAGGAAGGAAAAACAAGCCCAGACACACACUGGGUGGCUGCCGGCUGGCCAGGGCUCUUGGUACAACAAGCCUGGUGCCAGGCGGUGAAGCCCCACCAGCUGUCCCCGGGAACCCACCCCAGACUGGGCAGGGUUUGGUCAGUUCCACAAUUGCUUCUUGGGGCUAUAAGGAGGAUGGGAAAAUUCAGUACUUUUCCAGAGGGAUCGGCUACCUGGGCCAGAAAGGUGAUUUUCUAGUUACGUGGUAUGUGUGAUACAUGUGUAUUAAUGCAUCCUUUAUCCUUCAGAGGGGCUGCAGCAUCACUGGCCAACGUGUUCUAUGCAGGAUGCUACUAGUGAAACACCAGAUCCAAAAGUCAAAAAAAAAGCCCUGGAAAUGGCAAGUAAAAGGCAAAGUCAUCCAGGAAAAAUCACUGCCAAGUUCCUUAACAGCUUCUCUGCCCUGAGAUCUAUGCAGAAAGAGCCAGAUUCAGUGUGGGAGGAUGGAACGUCCUGUAGAAGAGGCUGUGUUGGCAUUCUUUCCCAUCUUUCGGUCACUGGAUAAGGCUGGUAUCUUAUAUCAAGGGUCGUUUUCUCCUGGAAAGAACUAGAAAUGAAAUGCUAAAGAGUUAGAGAGAACUUGAGUCUUAGUUCACUCUGCCGCUAAUUUGCUGAUUGAUACUAGAAAGGUCUUUCCUCUCCCUGAGCCUUACAUUCUUCCCCUGUAAAAUGAGAUGGUCAGACUUUCUCUAUCAUUUUCUUUUUUUUUUUAAAUUUUUAUUUAUUUAUGACAGUCACACAGAUAGAGAGAGAGAGGCAGAGACACAGGCAGAGGGAGAAGCAGGCUCCAUGCACCGGGAGCCCGAUGUGGGAUUCGAUCCCGGGUCUCCAGGAUCACGCCCUGGGCCAAAGGCAGGUGCUAAACCGCUGCGCCACCCAGGGAUCCCUUUCUCUAUCAUUUUCUAACUUUCUGAUCAGAGGAAGACUUCUGUCAAACAGUCUUAAGAGUCAUCCCAUGUAAAACAGAUAAAAGCAGUCUUUAACCAAAGUGUUUUUAAGGUAAUAUUACAUCAUUAAAUUAUGGAAGUGUUUACUAUAAAGGUCAGGAUAGAGGUGCUUUUAGGAGCAAGUAGGUAGUUGGGAUUAGGUCAAAGCACACAAAGGGCAUUUGGGUGGCUACAAACUUCUUGACCUGAGUGGGAGUUACAAGUGGAAAAUAUUUUCCUAGAAUCUUUCAGUAAACACUCAAAAUAUUACUAAUAUGUUAUAAAGUCAGUCACUGAGAACACAACUGUGUUCAAUUAGGUUUAGUUGCAAAAGACAAAAACUUCAAAAUAAAAGUGGUUUAACAAGAUAGAGGUUUAUGUUUCCUUCACGUUAAUGAAGUCUGAGGUGAGCCAUGUAAGGCGCUCAAUGUGAACAGGUUAGAGCUCAAUGAUCGUCGAGGACCCAAGGCUCCUUCUCUCUUGUCCAUCAACCUCAACACAAACUUCUAAUCCAGAGCCCAAGAUGGCUGACUGACCUCCACCAUCACAUCCACAUUAGAUCCAACAAGAAGAGGAAUGAGAAGCGUACACUCUCUCACUUUACCCCCUAGAAGUAGUGCUCACAUCCUCAGUUCACAUCCCAUUGACAAAACUUAACGACAAAGCCUUACCUAGCUGCAAGGGAGGCUGGAGUGUGUAGCCUUUAAUCUGGGUAGCCAUGGCCCUACCCAACUGUAGUCCACAACAAAGGUAAAAAAGGAAGAGUAGAUUUAGGGGACAACCAGCAGAAUCUGCCACAAUAUAUUAAUGGAUUAUGGUUUCUGAUGUGUCAAAAUUAAUGGGUGACUAAUGCGGGUGUCUUUGCUGUCUUUCUGUCACAGUUGUAAAUACAGCUUGAGGUAUACAAAAUGAGAUGAAUAGUAAUAGUCUGUGGCACUGCAGAUGCACUCACAAAACACAGCUUAAAUCCCCUGAACUAGAAACUCCCAAAGAGCGUUUCCAGCUUUGACCUUCUAAAAUUCUAUGAAAGCCCUGACCCUUGCCAUGAGUUUGCAGAGGGCUUUCUCUCUGGGGACUGGCAGGGGACUUCUUGUUACCUUCAGAACCGAGAAUUGUGCUCAUUGUUUCUUCUGAGCUGGCAACACCCUUGCCAAAUAUCUUGAAAAGCUGUCAUUCAGCAGCCUUCCCUCUUGGGCUGGGAGUUCCCCAGAGGAAGUGUAGUUUACUGAGGCAGUGAAAAAGACUCAGCAUUUCAAAGCAGGGGCUGUCUUAGCUGGGAGGAACUCAGACUUUCCACAAGAUUUUCAAGCUCUUUCCAGUAGAAGGGCCUACCUUUGGUUCAAUUCUUAUAUUUUUCAGAGGAAGAAGCGUGGAUCCAGAGAGGUUGAGAAGAUUAUCUGAAGUCACUAGCAACUUACAGCAGGGCAGGGCCAUGUGCUGACUUGUCCUGAUGCUUUUCAUCCACACUAGUUGCAAUAGUUUAAUUUAAUGUAUGUGUCCUAUGUGCCAUGCGGUGGGUUAAGCACCUGACAUGCAAGAUCUCAUUUACACUUCAUGAAUACCCUGAGAGAUAGGCAUACUUUCUUCUUUUUUUUUUUUAAGAUUUAUUUAUCUAUCUAUUUAUUUAUUCAUUCAUUCAUGAGAGACACAGAAAGAGAGACAGAGACAUAGGCAGAGGAAGAAACCUACUCCUCACAGGGAGCCUGAUGUGGGACUGAAUUCCAGGACCCCAGGAUCAGGCUGUGGAGGCCAAGAAAAUUAAGGCCAUUCCAUUUUAAGUUCAGCGUUAGCACAAGUACAGCCAUCCCACGCCCCUGUGAAUAAGAGCUGAAAUUUACCUUACUUCAGUUACAGGAAGAAAACAGCUUACAGUUUAAAGUCCUAGAAAGCCCCAUAUUAGAAUGAGAACAGAGCCCAAGCCAAGGGCAGGAAGCCCCUAUUACAAUAAGAAUAGAGUUCAAUGCCCUUGAAAGCCAAAUGUAGACAGAACUUGAGAAAUUCCUCCACCCCUUCUGGAGGUCCCCUAGAUCGAUCCUUAAAACUAAGCUGAAACCCACCUCGGGAUCCAAGUCCCUGCUCCGCUGUGUUGGGUAUACUUGGACCCAAGCUCAAGCUUGUAAAUAAACCCUCGUGUGUUUGCAUGUG